GAACAACAACAACAAACCCAGUGUAUUCCCACUUAGUGGGGUCUGGGGGGGGUAAGAUGUACGCAGUCCAUACCUCUACCUCUGAAGAAGUAGAAAGGCUGUUUCCGAAAGACCCCCGGCUCAAGGCACAAGAUAUCACACAAACACAUAGUAAAGCACAGAAGCAGAUGACAUAACAUAAAUACGGCUCCCAUAAGGAAUAUAAA
This 206-nucleotide long non-coding RNA is filed under the name Capsicum annuum. RNAcentral's name for it is "long non-coding RNA (CANN_LNC010920)". Lineage: Eukaryota; Viridiplantae; Streptophyta; Magnoliopsida; Solanales; Solanaceae. The record is from RNAcentral.